CCUUAAGAGUUGGGUUGAUUGUGGUACUUUCUAUAAGAGUUGUAUCAUCUGUGGUCUCUCUUCUUUCAUUUCUUCCGCAUCAUUAUUAGGUUAUAUCAAAGGAAUGUUAAUGUUAAUGUCCCUCAACCGCAGCAGCAGAAUGCUGAGUCCGUGUGGGCGGCACUAGGGCUUGCAGAUGAGCCUGCGGUGCAGCCUUGCUCUGAGGUGAAGAAGAAUGAGGUUUCGCCUAGGACUGCAGCGACGCUCAUUCCAGGUCCGGCAGUUGUUACGUUGGGGUGGAGAGGAAGCCAGGUUGCCCUCUGAAGGCUGUGCUCACUGCUGAUGUUGUUGCUGCUGUUGUGGCGGCAGCUGAAGCUUCAAGUGGUGACUCCUAUUAUGUUCAUUGUUGUUUCUGAUCUUGCCACUGUUGUGAAUGCAUUGCUGUUGGUUCCCGUGGUUGUGCUUGCCAGUCAUCAUAACCGGGUCAUUCAUUUGAGUUAUGAAAUUUUAUAUCUAUCUGAGUUGAUUUUGUUUUCCCCUUUUUAUUUUUAUUUGUUUGUUAUUCUGACAAACGGAUCUAAAGAAACCAUUUAAGUACCUCCAUAUAGCUGAGAAAAUAAUCUCUCUCUCUUAGUAAAAUGUGCUACUAUCAUGUCUCUCUUCUGCAAUUUUUUUUCAAGAAUCAAUUAUUGGAAAAUGCAAUGUGAUUUCCACAUCAAUAGACCAGAGAAUCCUGAACCAUCUGAAACAGAGUUGAAGAGAGCUGAUUUGUUUUUCAAUUAUGCAUAUGCGUUAGUUGCUAGCCGUGCAAAACUUGAUAACUUUACAACUGAAGGUUAGUUAUUUGCAUAUGAUAUUUGUUAAUUUUGGUAAGAUAGAUAUUUUAGUUGUGAUGUUUGUAUUCGUGAGCAGAGCACCAUUUUUUAUUCAUAUGUUGAUUUUUUUUAUGCAUUAAUUAAUGAUUAUGUCCACAUGUACAAUAUAUAGUAAUAUUACUUAAGAAUGAUAAGAGUUUCUUUCUUUUCUUUCCCUUUAUUUUUACAUUUUAUGACUGAUUCAUUGGGCACUGUGUUCGUAUAGUGCAAGUAGGUACAUACAGUGUUGGAUGUGGCUGAAGCUGCCACUACAACUGUGAGAUUUCUGGACAUACAUCAUAAAUUUUGGGACACUUUACAUCUCUAUGAUUCAAGCCUAAAUAUUUUCAGGAGGCUACCAUUAGAUUGACACAAGUGGAUAGAGUAGCGGAGCAUUUAUCACGUCAUAUUAUGGAGCUUCAUGAAGUAAUGAGUAAGUUCAAGGAUUAGUUCUCACCAACUAUUUUGUGUAAGUUUUAGUAGAUAAUGUUAUGCAUUUAUUAGCAUUCACCUCUCCUUUACUAUCAAAAUUCAUGGUUGCCAAUUUUUGCGUAUUGCUCUUUGCUCAUUUGUUAAUCCAAUAUUAUAGUUCAUGGUUCUAACAAUGAUGUUUUAUACUGAAAUAGUCAACCUGUUUGCUGCAAGUUUAUAUACAAAUUUUAGAAGCUCUAUAUAUGGCAUGGCACCUUCUACCUGCGUUUUAUGGAUCAUUUGGCUCAUUUGAUUUAGUUCACCAAAGGUUCUGGUAGUUACUUUUGGCCAGUGAUGGGAUUCGAAGAUUGCUAAUUUCAUCGGCAUGGUAAUUACUAAAUCAUGUUUUGAACAAAAGUUGACGACAUUAAUUACUUAGUGGAGGAAGAUAAUCUAUUGAUGGUUUUGAUUUGUGCCAUUCUCUUUUUUUUUUUGUGAAAUGUUGAAGUGAAUUUUGUAUUUUGGGGUUUAUUUGGGUUAAUUGCACAAAUAAUUUGUAGAAGUUUUUUCAUAUUUUGAGUUAAUACCCUGUUAUAGAAAACUCUUGAAAAAAAAGUUUUUUAUUUGAUUUGAUCUUAUUUUUUAAGGUGAUUUUUUUGAUAUGGUUAAUUUAUUAGUAAUAUAAAUAAAGAAUUUAUUUAGAUUUUGGCUAUGUUGGAUUGUGCUCUCUAUGGAUCUCAGUUUUUCUAAAACAAAAAUUGCAUUUACGUAGUAUUUUUAUGCAAAACUGAUAUUGUUAACUAAAGCUUUACAUAAAAUGAUUUGGACUUGAUUAUUGUAGUUGUCAUCUCACUUUUUGGUGAGAGCUUUACCUUUAAUUAAAUAUAGAUUGUCUUCAAAUUCAUGGCUGAUUACUAAAUUGUAUCAAGCUUGCUAGGAGGUAUUUUCAGGUUAAAUUUUAUUAUUAGCAUGUAAUAAAAGUAAAUUGAAGUCUUUAAUUGAAGUCCUUAUGAAACCAAAAAAAUGUGUUUUACUUCUUUAAAUUUCUAAUUUUAUUAUAAUUUUUAAGUUGGAAUACAUGGGGGAUUGUUAAUCCCAUCACCUUGAAAUUUUGCAAGGAUAGUAGUGGUUUUGUUAAUCUUGGGUUGAAUUUUAUAUUUUUCUUUGAAAUUUAGAAAUUCUUUUCAGGUUAUUGUUGGUGUGUUUACUAUUCGCCUAUUUGGAUUUUUUUGUAAUUUAGCUAAGCCAUAUAUCUCACAUUACAUUUUUACAGAUACAUUUUAUUCAUAACAAUGUGUAGAAAUUAAAAUUGUGAACUAUCUAUUUCUUUGGAUAACAGGUGUACUUACAUUCAAGAUUCAAAAUAUGCUUGGCUUAUAUUAGACUAUUAAUUUUUUUAAAAGAAAGAGCAAAUAAUACUUAUGCUACUACUACUAGGCACUAGCUGUUAGUGAACAAUAGUAAAUAUGUGAAAUGUGUAAUGAAAUGGAAUGGUUGCUGUUAGAUGGUAGUUUCUUUGGUUGGAGUUACAAUAGAAAAAAGAACAAAUAAUACUUAUGCUAUUUGGUACUAGCUUUUGGUGAGCAAUAGUAAGUCUAUGAAAUAUGUAAUGGAAUAGAAUGGAUGCUGCUAUAUGAUAGUUCUUUGGUUGGAGUCACAUUAGCAGCUAAUUUGUAAUACUUAUCAUUAACUAUUGUUGUCAACUACAUAAGUAAAGCAACAUGCUUCUUCAUGCUUAUGACGGAUGAAAGUAAUGUUAAUAGUCAAUAAUAUUGAAUCGUCCUUGGUAAAUAUUAAAAAAUAAUUAAAAUAGAGUUUGUAAUUAGUUAUUUCAUUUCUUUCUACAGAAUGCAUGAUUAUUGAUAUACUAUUAUUAUUUUGAUUAUUGAGAGUCAGAAGAAUUAUUUUUUUUUCAAAUAAAAAAUGAAUAAAAAAGAGAACGAAAUUCUCUUUCUUUGUUGUUAUUGUAUGUGUUCAUACAUACAUCUAUCAGUAUAGUACAAGUUUAAUUGAUCCCUAAACUUUAAUUUUGGUUUAAUCUAAUAUUAAUGUUCGGUACUUAAUUGAUGCAUAGUUAUUCAUAUUUUUUAUGUUGUGAUUUUGGUAGUUUACUUUGAAUUUUGCUGUCAGAUUUGGUGAAUAAAUGACCAGAAAGUUUUAACCUGUUUUUCGUGAUGUAACAACAGAUAGAGUGAUAACUGAUAAGUUAUAAUAUGCAGUCGAACUUUUUUAAGUAGUUCCAUUAUUUUUUAAGUGUUUUGCAUGCUUAAUUUUGCACAUUUUUUAGGUUGUUCAAUUUAUAAAUGAAGUAUUGAAGUAUGACUUAAUGCAAUAUAUGAUUUUUUGUACAAUAGUUCAUUCAAUUGAACAAUUUUUAUGUUACCAUAUAGCAAGGUUGGUUUGAUAAAAUUAAUAUAUAUUAUCUAUAUGAGUUUUAUAAAAGCCUUUUGUCAGCAAUCGAUUUGGGUUAUGUUGUAGUUGUUUUUUGAUUAUGUUUCUAUUAAGUCAUUUUUAUUCAUCUUUCAAUUAUUUUAUGUUAAAUGCUGCUCUAGGAUAAUAUUUUUUUUCAUUCAUACAUUUUUUUAUGCAGGAGUAUCACUUUAACCAUCAUAUAUUCUGCAUUUGUGUUUUUUUAUUUUUUUUUCUCAUUAUUCCUUAAUUCAUUUUGUCUAUGUAGUUUGGAACAUUAAACAUGCCCGUACUUUGCACGGGUAAUGCACUCAUUUGAAAUUGAUUUUUAUUAUGAUGUAUACUUUAUAAAUCUUAUGAAAAUGUAGUGUUAGAAUUUUCACGUUAGCUGACACACGAAAUUUUGUUACAGGUAAAUUUGUUGAAAUAGUGUUUUUGACUUAUUACCUGAGUUGGUUUAUUAUUUAUAGUCCAACUUCACUUAUCAAUUUGUAUUUCAUUAGCCAUUAUAAUAAUAUCACAAUGCAAAUGGCCAUUUUGGUAAAAAUUAUAUUUAAUUUGUUUAGGAUUUGUUAAGUAUGAAGUUGCUGCUACAUUUGGCAAUGAUAGAGUUUAUUUAGAAAAGUAUGUCUAGAACCAAAGAUACGUUAAGUUUCAGAUAAUGUUAUCAUUUUUUGUCUAAGGGAACUUUGUAAUUUAACUAGAGCCUCUAGUAGGAGAAUAGGGAGGGAAUUUGAUUUAUUUAAAUUGUUGAUUUGAUGGAAAUGUUCAAUUUGAAAUUAUUGUGUUUUUAACAUA
Molecule: long non-coding RNA, 4451 nt
Organism: Arachis stenosperma
Lineage: Eukaryota; Viridiplantae; Streptophyta; Magnoliopsida; Fabales; Fabaceae
Exons: 4
Source: RefSeq, a predicted model, not a curated record